ACCUCUCAGUUUUCCCUUGUGGUGAGGUUCGGUCCUGUUUUUCUCUCCUGAUCCCCAGUGGGGGGCACACAGAGCAUACUGCACUGCAGGGCUACAGCAGCAGGUGAGCCCUGGGGCUGCGCCUACGGAUCCUCUGUGGAAGGCUUGUUUCACAGAUAAUUCGGGCUCCCACCUGCACCAUCCGCGCGAUGACUCAACGUGGGCAGCUGAAGGGCGGCUGGCAGAAACGCCCCCUGCCUCUCGCCGUGCCCUGUGGCCGGGUCCAGUGUUGGACGGCGUCCGCACCCGAGCAUGUGUCUUUCUCGUACCCCAUGAACUUGCUUGAUUGUGAGAUGGCAGUCGUGUUGGGGAGUCACCUUUCCUCAGGGUGACUCCAAAAUGGGGUGGGAAAUGAUGGAUGAACAUGGUCUCUGGGAGGGAGGGUUUUGAGGGGUGUUGCACAUGGAGGAUCCCCGUGGGACUGCACCCAGGUGCCUGCGUCGGGGCCUGCCUGUUACCUAGAUUGUGUUGGCUCUCCCUGUCCUGUCUCCCAUCCCCACCCCAACACCCCUGCUGAAGCCACAGUCUGGUCUCAGGGUCUGCUGUGAUGGGAACCCAAAUAACAGGUGCAAAAACCCCAAAUGAAAUAUUACCAAACUGAACUUAUAUCACAACCAAAGUGAUUCACUCUAGGAAUAAACCUGUAGUUAAAAAUACUGUAAUGUACACAUUUGUUAUUGAAAAAUUUGUCAAGAGAGUAGACCUCAUGUUGUACUCUUACCACAGU
Myotis brandtii (Brandt's bat) is the source of this 766-nucleotide long non-coding RNA. RefSeq lists it as uncharacterized. The transcript is spliced from 2 exons. The record is from RefSeq and is a predicted model, not a curated record. NCBI's taxonomy places the organism in Eukaryota, Metazoa, Chordata, Mammalia, Chiroptera, Vespertilionidae.